This 256-nucleotide long non-coding RNA is filed under the name Trifolium pratense (red clover). Its description in RNAcentral is "long non-coding RNA (TPRA_LNC004875)". The record is from RNAcentral. Lineage: Eukaryota; Viridiplantae; Streptophyta; Magnoliopsida; Fabales; Fabaceae.
GAAGAAGAAAGAAGAGGUUUUGGGCAUGGUGUGAUUUUCCAGAUGUAUGAUUUUGAGAGCAAAAGUUUCAUUUGGAUUUGAGUUUGAAUUUUGAGUAAUGGAGCACAAGGAUACUGUUCGUACAUAGUUUGGGUUGUUAAUUUGUUAUUGAAGAAGAAACCUAAAGAAUUAAGAAAAGAUGGGGUAAAGGGUGUGAGAGGGAUAAGAGUUAAAGAUGAAGAUGUUGUUAUUUGUUCUUCCUAAUCUUUCUUUUUUU